AUUAAUUACAAUAAUUUGUUAUUAUUAAUCUUAUCAAUUCAUUUGAAUGCGAAAACAAUGAUGGUAUACAGUAUAUUGCGAAGUGUUUUCAUUAAAUCCAGUUCUUUAAAUUCGUUAAUGGAGUUCUUUCUUUUGUCAUUCUUAAUAUUUAGGGGUCGCGUUCAAAACUAAUUUGAUUCCCCUUGCACAAUCAGCCAUUGUUAAAGUCUUUCUCAAUACCUGAAUAAAUUAGAAUGAUAUUCCACCUAUUAAAAUAAAAGGCCUUCCACUUAAUAAGAGUAACUUUAUCCGAAUACUGCUAAAUCAUUCAAUUCAAUGGGUACCAAAGCAAUAAAGUGUAUAUCGAGAUGCUGGAGAAAAAUCAUCGGAUUAAUAGUACCUUUUGCUCUUUCUCCAUUACUGUUUGUAAUUAAUACAAAAGUGAGUAUAAUUCAUUCUAUUUUAUAUACUUUACCGACUACACAAAUUGAUAAUUCGGGUUAUUUUUCAAGAAUUUUAAAAAUUUUAAGCUGUUGGUGAGCCAGCAACUUGAAAUCUUUAAAACUCUCCAGAGGUACUUAUUAUGUUUGAAAUCUUUCUAUAUACGAC
RNAcentral lists this long non-coding RNA (588 nucleotides) under Androctonus crassicauda. Lineage: Eukaryota; Metazoa; Arthropoda; Arachnida; Scorpiones; Buthidae. The record is from RNAcentral.